GUGUCGUUAGCUCAACUGGAUAGAGCACGAUCCUUCUAAGAUUGGGGUUACAGGUUCGAGUCCUGUACGAUGCGCC
This 76-nucleotide transfer RNA is filed under the name compost metagenome. RNAcentral describes it as "tRNA-Arg". It matches the Rfam family "tRNA". Rfam says of the family: Transfer RNA (tRNA) molecules are approximately 80 nucleotides in length. Their secondary structure includes four short double-helical elements and three loops (D, anti-codon, and T loops). The record is from RNAcentral.